RNAcentral lists this transfer RNA (88 nucleotides) under Ralstonia edaphi. Its description in RNAcentral is "Ralstonia sp. LMG 6871 tRNA-Gly". The record is from RNAcentral. Lineage: Bacteria; Pseudomonadati; Pseudomonadota; Betaproteobacteria; Burkholderiales; Burkholderiaceae.
CCAGUUACGGCCGGGCUUUGAGGCCGGCGCGGCCGGAGCCGGUGCGGCCGGCGACGGUUGCGCUGCGGGUGCGGCCUGCUGCGUGGGC